CUAGAAUGGAUUACAAAAUUAAAACAAAGAAUAACCAAAUAUUUUUAAUAGAGCAUGAAACCCAAAAUGUGGUUGGCCCAAUGUAACUUGGCUGAAAUUAAAAGUUGUAAUGCUGUUUGUCGUACCUCCAAAAUUACUGCACUAAAAUUCUUCAAUUAGAAUUGUGCAGCCCAAGUAAUAGUGCAACACGGUUUUGGCCCAAAAUGCUUCACUACAGCCAAUUAAAUUCUGUUGUCACGUUUUGUUCCAAUUAAAUUUCUUGCGGUCCAAAAAUUCCUUCAAUUGUAAACUGCUCCAGCUUGUUUUAGGAAUAAAACUAAAUCAAAUUUCAUUGUACACCAAUUUCAUUCAUCAAAGGAUUUCAACAAAUCAUGGACCCCACCGUGUUUAUGACCGUGAACCACUGCCAAUUCAUCCAAAUCACCACAUUACUAUAUUAUCGGUUGGGCCCCACUGAUUGCAAGCCAUUUCAAUUUCUUGAUGCCUGCACUUCCAACGUUGAAUUAACUAUCUCAAAUGAAUUCACCAAUCAACAAAUCACUAACCCAAAACUUCAGACAUUGCACAAAGUUUUGCACGAAUAGCAAAAUCAGAAAUGGCACCAAAUCAUCGUGUUUACUGUUUAAUAUUUCCAAUAGUUGUCUGCAUUCAUUCAAUCUUGUUGCUCACGCUAAUACAAUUAAACAAACUAUACCACUUUAAUUUGCAGCACCAAAUUGAAAAUGAAAACUGCACCAGAAUUUUACACCAAAAAUCAGAAAUAUCAGUACCAAAAUCUACCGUGUUCUGUUUCAACAAAUCCAAGAUUGAUCAAAGCAUCAUAAAUUGUCUCUAAUUUGGUUAAUAUGCAGCACUGCAACUCCAAAUCAAUCUUCAAUUUCCAGCUAUUCAAUUGAAUUAGCACCGCUUGCUUCACAACUGUGAAUUUAUCCCAAUCCAAUCAACCAAGAAUCUUCCACCAAGAGCACCAAAGAUCAAAUGAAAUUCAGAGACACAGUUUCAAUUAGAAACUACAACAGCAAAACCAGAAAUACAAAGAAGCUUGAUUCCAAAUGAAUUGAGCCAAAACAAUUUAUCAUGCACUUUCUCUGCAGUUUAACCAAAAUACAAACUGCUUCAUACUUCACCACUAAUCAAUUACUAACACUGCCAGCUUCAAAUAAAAAUUGUUUCACACCCAGCUUCAAAUCACAGAUUCAAGUUGAUGAAAAAUCAGCUACCAAAAUCAGCACCAGAAUCUCCAAAAGAAAUCAGAAAAACUCAACCAGAGAAUGUGCCAAAUCAAAGAACAAAUCAUAAACUGUCUCUAUUUCAAGAAUUCGUUGUUCGUCGUUUUCUCGUGCACUCAACAAACAAAAAUUGACAAGAAAUUGUACCAUCAAUUUGUACUGUGAUAGAUUUUCCAGUGAAAAGCAAUGAACCCUUUCAAGUAAAAUUUCUUCGAUCCUAUUUCGUUCGUCACCGGAACGAUUCCGUGUUUGCACCGUUUCAACUUCUCCACCGUAGGAAAACCUGAUUUAGGUCACCGGGAAUCGCAACUGCCAUUCAACGGUUCAUAUCGCACCCAUGAAUCAAUUCAUUCUUCACUGCUUGAUUCUUCGAUUUUCGAUUCACCAAACCAACUGCCGUUUGCGAUUCCUCCGUUCACAAUUCCUCCGCGCGCGAUUCCGAUUUAGGUCAUCGGAAAUCACAAACCUCCGUUUGGCACCGUUAAUAUUCUUCAAUCAAUCUUCGCACACCGAUUCAAGAUGAAGCCGAAGAAGAAAAAUGAUGCAGAAGAUGAAGAACAACAAUGCAAAUCGCAGAGAAAUUUUCAAGAAUAAAGUCCGAGAAACCUAAACCAGAUCUGCUAUUCGUAC
Molecule: long non-coding RNA, 1859 nt
Filed under: Phaseolus vulgaris (common bean)
Lineage: Eukaryota; Viridiplantae; Streptophyta; Magnoliopsida; Fabales; Fabaceae
Description: long non-coding RNA (PVUL_LNC003040)
Source: RNAcentral